Molecule: transfer RNA, 73 nt
Filed under: Vicugna pacos (alpaca)
Lineage: Eukaryota; Metazoa; Chordata; Mammalia; Artiodactyla; Camelidae
Description: tRNA-Ala (AGC) (tRNA-Ala-AGC-825-1)
Rfam family: tRNA
About the family: Transfer RNA (tRNA) molecules are approximately 80 nucleotides in length. Their secondary structure includes four short double-helical elements and three loops (D, anti-codon, and T loops).
Source: RNAcentral
GGAGGAUAUAGCUCAGUGGUAGAGUGCAUGCUUAGCAUGCAUGAGGUCCUGGGUUCAAUCCCCUGUACCUCCA